This 29-nucleotide small RNA is filed under the name Bombyx mori (domestic silkworm). RNAcentral's name for it is "ovarian small RNA-2681". The record is from RNAcentral. Lineage: Eukaryota; Metazoa; Arthropoda; Insecta; Lepidoptera; Bombycidae.
GACCUGAUGCACCUGGCAUAUCGAGCCGG